UACGGGGGGGGUAAGCGUUGUUCGGAAUUAUUGGGCGUAAAGGGCUCGUAGGCGGUUUGUCGCGUCGGGAGUGAAAACCCAGGGCUUAACCCUGGGCUGGCUUCCGAUACGGGCAGACUAGAGGUAUGCAGGGGAGAACGGAAUUCCUGGUGUAGCGGUGAAAUGCGCAGAUAUCAGGAGGAACACCGGUGGCGAAGGCGGUUCUCUGGGCAUUACCUGACGCUGAGGAGCGAAAGUGUGGGGAGCGAACAGG
RNAcentral lists this ribosomal RNA (253 nucleotides) under uncultured bacterium. Its description in RNAcentral is "partial 16S ribosomal RNA". It matches the Rfam family "Bacterial small subunit ribosomal RNA", at positions 524 to 776 of the family's 1533-position model. The record is from RNAcentral.